Molecule: ribosomal RNA, 164 nt
Filed under: uncultured bacterium
Lineage: Bacteria
Description: partial 16S rRNA
Rfam family: Bacterial small subunit ribosomal RNA
Source: RNAcentral
UGGGGAAUAUUGGACAAUGGGCGAAAGCCUGAUGGAGCAACGCCGCGUGUGUGAUGAAGGGUUUCGGCUCGUAAAACACUGUUGUAAGAGAAGAAUGACAUUGAGAGUAACUGUUCAAUGUGUGACGGUAUCUUACCAGAAAGGGACGGCUAAAUACGUGCCAG